GAAGUAUCUGACGUAGGUUGUAAGAGGGAGAAGUGAAACCCACAGGAGAAGGGGACUCCUCAGUCCUGCACUGAAGGAACCACCCACCUGAACCCAGGUAACACAAGCAAUUCCAUCUUUGUGCUCCAGGGGGACUGCAAGUGAUCAAGAUCAUAUCUGAAGGACUUCUGGCCAAGAUGGAGGCAUAGAAAGAGGGGAAGGGAGGAAGAGAUGGAGAGAAACAUCUAUGUGUGGUUACAUCUCCCGCACUCCCUAAUGGGCAUCUGGCUCAAAACCCAGCCAUGCAGCAUUCACCUGCGCACCUGACGACAUCAUCAGACAUUUAAACUGCACACAAGGAGGAUCUGUCACACUGUCACUGCUCACUGUCAUUCCAGCAAAGGCCUUGCUUUGGAAGUCUUCUCCUCUGACUCAGCCUUGCAGACUCAGAAACUGGCUGAGCAGUAACAGACAGCACGAGCCCCGGACUAAGUUGCCCUCUGGUCUCAAUUCUGGUGACCCAGAUGUUGAAGAGUUUCCCUUGGGGCAGCCUCUCACCAUGUAUGGACCCCACCAGGUGUUGAGCCUGCUGGAGCAAAAGGGAAAUUCGUGGCUCAGUGCUGGAAGAAUGGGCAGGUACCAGGCUAUUCCUCUCGACCACUCCAAUGUCUCCCUCAGAACAGUGACUAAGCUAAACCCUGCCUCUCUUCUCCCAAGGCCUGACUUGGCUGUGCUAAUACAUGACUGAGCUGAGAUCACUGAUUCUUCUAGCAGAAUUGAUGUACAGGACCAUCCUGUAGAAGAAACAGACUGGACUCUCUGUGCAGAUGGAAGCAGUUAUAUGGACACAGGAAACAUAGAGGCUGGGUAUGCAGUAGUGAGGUUUGAAGGAGGAGUGGAGGCCCAGGACUUGCUGCCAGGAACCUCUGUUCAGAAAGCUGCACUGAUUGCAUUGAGGAAGAUGCUGGAAUUGUCACAAGAAAAGAGAGUGAAUGGGUGUGCCUCCUCGAGGUACACUGUCCUGAUUUGGCUUGCACAUGGUUCCAUCUGGAAGGAAAGAGGACUAUUAACCUCCAGUAAAAAGGAGAUUAAGCAUGCAGCAGAAGUUUAAAAACUAUUAGGGAAUCCUCAGGUACCUUUACUGGAGGCAGUCAUGCACUGCCCAGGACAUUAGAAAGAGGACACUGAAGUGGGUAGAGGAAACAUUCUGGCUGAUGGAGCAGCAAAGGAGGCUGCUAAAGGAACACUUACAAUGCUUUUGGUACCUCUUCUAGACUUGUCAGAAUUUCACCUUGAAUAUUCGACUGCAGACUUAGAGAAAGACUGGAGUUGGGGUUUUGAUGAAGAAGGUCCUGACAGGAGAUGGAGAGAGAAUAAGAAAGGAGUCACACUGUUUCCUGAACAUUUAGUAGAGCCAGUCAUAAAGCAUUUGCAUGAGGCUACACACUGUGGAAGAGACUCAUUAACCACCUAUGUCAAGCUGUGGCUCACAGGUCCUGGAAUUUCUAAGGCCAAGGAAAAGUAAUUGCUGGGUGUGUUGUGUGCCAGAAGUACAGCCCCAAGACAGAUCCCCAGCAAAAGAACGAAGGGAAAUAAUACCAGAGAAAGAGCCCAUUUGAGGACUGGCUGAUAGACUUUACUCAGAUGUCAAGGGUCCAAGGGUGGAAAUAUUUGCUAGUCUUUGUUGAAACCUUUUCCAAGAUGGAUAGAAGCUUAUCCUACUAGAAUAGAGAAAUUCUUGGGGGGGAGCAAAAGCUUUAUUGAAGGAAAUAAUCCCUCACUUUGGCCUCGCUGGCAGCAUCCAGAUCAAUAAUGGACCUGCUUUUGUUUCAGAAAUUACACAGGAGGUUAGUACAUUUUUAGGAAUCUAGUGGAGACUCCACACAGCAUGGAGACCUCAGGCUUCUGGGAAAGUAGAAAAGGUGAAUCACACCUUGAAGAAAAAUGUGGCCAUGUUAUGUGAAGAAACUCAUGUCCAUUGGGAUCAAGCUUUGCCUAUUACCCUGCUCAGGAUAAGGGUGACUCCUCAAAGUGGGAUUCGGCUGAGUUUUUAUGAGAGUGUUUAUGGGCGACUAUUUCAGGCUAUGAUUGGGGUGGGAGACAUAAAUACUGAUGAAGAAAUGAAGGUAAAGUAUAAGUACAACAUUUAAGUCAGAACUUAGCUGUAACUAAUGACAUUUAUUGUGUUAGGGAUCUCUGCCCUGCAGGUUCCCUACAUUCCACUGAGUCUGGAGAUAAGGUGGUACUUGGACCUUGGAUGACAGGAUCACCAGAGAGCUUACUACAAGAAAAGAGGGCUGGACUUUGGGACUUACUCCUUACCAGUCCCACCUCAAUGAUGUCAGCCUUGGACUGAACCUUGGACUCUUGACACCAGAAAGGAAAGAGCUGGAAUAAUGAUGGACUAGUGAACCACAGGAAGACCUAAAAUCAUCUUUUGAUAGCCAUGGCUUAUAUUCUUUUCAUUAAUUUUUAUUUGCUGACAGGAAAAAUGGUUGUCAGCUCUGGGAAGCUCUCUGGCUGCCUUGGGGAGACACACCUUUGCCAGAAUCCUGGUUUUCCUCUGAGAGCUUCCAUUCCAUCCAGACAACAAGUGCUGUCAGGUGUCAGCUGCCCCUUGACUCUCCUUGAGGGAGAAGCUCAGGUUCAUUUGGGAGAGUGUUCGCCAGUUCACCACACCUCAGUCAUCACAGGUUCUGUGUCUCUCAUUCUCUUAAGUGAACUUACUGUUCCAUGAAGAAGAGGCUGGCUCAGCCCUCACAGGUCACUUUCCUGGGCUCAUGACACUUGGGGAUGAAUGUAGCAGAGUGUGUUUGUGCACUUUCCUGGUCAUCAUGGGAUAUAUUUUACUUUUUAAUUCUCCAUUUUCACUAAGGACAGUUAAGAAAUUAAUCCAUUUGUAUAAUGAAUUCAAGAUAUACCUAUCUUCUUUUAAAAUAUUUUUUAUUUUUCAAUUACAGUUGAUCUACAAUAUUAAGUCGGGUUCUGUACAACUCUGUAUUUACAUAUUUAUGUAAGUUACAAACUGAUCACCCCAAUAAA
Long non-coding RNA from Phyllostomus hastatus (greater spear-nosed bat), 3021 nucleotides. RefSeq lists it as uncharacterized. The transcript is spliced from 5 exons. Lineage: Eukaryota; Metazoa; Chordata; Mammalia; Chiroptera; Phyllostomidae. The record is from RefSeq and is a predicted model, not a curated record.